CCCUUAGAUGUUCUGGGCCGCACGCGUGCUACACUGACCGGCGCAACAAGUUUCUUUCCUUGGCUCGAUAGGCCUGGGUAAUCUUUGAACGCCGGUCGUGAUGGGGAUAGAUCCUUGCAAUUUUUGAUCUUCAACGAGGAAUUCCUAGUAAAUGCGAGUCAUCAUCUCGCGUUGAUUACGUCCCUGCCCUUUGUACACACCGCCCGUCGCACCUACCGAUUGAAUGGUCCGGUGAAGCCUCGGGAUUGCGAACGCUUCGUGCGGACGCGAGAACUUGGCUAAACCUUACCAUUUAGAGGAAGGUGAAGUCGUAACA
RNAcentral lists this ribosomal RNA (316 nucleotides) under uncultured eukaryote. RNAcentral describes it as "partial 18S ribosomal RNA". It matches the Rfam family "Eukaryotic small subunit ribosomal RNA", at positions 1470 to 1796 of the family's 1831-position model. The record is from RNAcentral.